GUGGGAGGGGCAGGGAGUGAAUGGGUUUAGUGUGGGGAGGGGGGCCGGGAGUGAAGGGAUUAUAUUGUGUAACCCCUUCACUCCCUGCCCUCCCCACACUGUAACCCCUUCACUCCCUUUCCUCCCUAAUGUAACCCCUUUACUCCCUGCACUUCCCCCAUGUAACCCCUUCACUCCCAGCCCUCCCCCAAUGUAACCCCUGCCCUCCCCAC
Pelobates cultripes (western spadefoot toad) is the source of this 212-nucleotide non-coding RNA. The record is from the annotation of a GenBank genome assembly. Lineage: Eukaryota; Metazoa; Chordata; Amphibia; Anura; Pelobatidae.